This 239-nucleotide ribosomal RNA is filed under the name uncultured bacterium. RNAcentral's name for it is "partial 16S ribosomal RNA". It matches the Rfam family "Bacterial small subunit ribosomal RNA", at positions 538 to 776 of the family's 1533-position model. The record is from RNAcentral.
GCGUUAUCCGGAAUUAUUGGGCGUAAAGAGCUCGUAGGCGGUUUGUCGCGUCUGCUGUGAAAACCCGAGGCUCAACCUCGGGCCUGCAGUGGGUACGGGCAGACUAGAGUGCGGUAGGGGAGAUUGGAAUUCCUGGUGUAGCGGUGAAAUGCGCAGAUAUCAGGAGGAACACCGAUGGCGAAGGCAGGUCUCUGGGCAUUAACUGACUCUGAGGAGCGAAAGCAUGGGGAGCGAACAGG